Bubalus bubalis (water buffalo) is the source of this 9052-nucleotide long non-coding RNA. RefSeq lists it as uncharacterized. NCBI's taxonomy places the organism in Eukaryota, Metazoa, Chordata, Mammalia, Artiodactyla, Bovidae. The transcript has 4 exons. The record is from RefSeq and is a predicted model, not a curated record.
CUCUUACACACACUCAGAGGAACCUGACAGAACAGAAUCCGUCUUCUUCCUUACAAGAUCUCCUCCUCCAGUUCCCUCCUUCAUCCUGUACGGCUGCUUCCAGCUCCCGGGAGAGAAUCACUGAGCAGCUCAAAUAGAGCUGAGUAAGUAAUAUUAUUCCUGCUUCCAGAUGAAGAAACUGCUCAGAGAGUUUAAGUAAGUCACCCAAGAUCACACAGCUAGAAAGUGAUGGGGAAAAAUCUGAGCUGGUAUCCACUAUGUUGUGCUGCUUCUCACUAACAUAUUAUAGUGCAUAUGGCAUUACAAAUACAUACCACAUUCACAGAGAAACUCAAUUUGAGGCAUUUUUUGAAAAGAGCAAUUAGACUCAGUCAGAGUUAGCUAUAAUCUUUCCUUUCUAUUCAAGCGAACUGUGUACUUUGGACUCAAGAACAUCUCUGAUCCUAUUUCCUCAUCUGGAAAAUGGGGUUUGCUAUGAGACUUAAAGGAAAUUAUUCUUAUGCUUUUUUAGCUGUUCAGUGUACUCAAGAGACGGCUCCCACCCAUUCCAAGCAAGGCGGCAAACACAUGCAUUCUCCACACUCUGAUAACACUGCUUUGGCACAUUUUGGGGAACAGUGCCUUGAAUCUUACUGAAGUUCUCCUUGUUCCAUUUUUUCUCCAGUUUCUCUGUUUUAUCACCUUUAAAGGUCAACUUCGCUAUGCUGGGCAUUAUUAAGAAGCUGUGUUUGAUGUUGUGGGUGCAAGUAUAUGCGAUGAGGAAAUGUUUGAACCUAGGCACUGUUUUUGCAAAAUACUGCUUUCUGGUUUAUGCAAGAGACAAAAAAAAAAAAAUUUGUAAAAGUCCCAUUAAGAAGACUCACAGGCUCCUCAGACAUCAAAUAACUCUCACCAACAUUUUAAUGAUUUAAGUGUAAAUGAAUCAGAAACACAUGGACUGCAUUUCUCUUGGAAUAUACAAGCAUUUUAAAACCAAGAGAGGAAGAACUUGGCACAAAGAACCCUGUGCCAUGCAGAGGGCCCUGCCCACUAAAGACAUUCCCUCCAUUAGGGCUGCAGAUGAGCUGGCCCUCUCCUAAUUUAGGGCAUAUCCAGGGAAAUGCAGUCAUUUGUUCUGGGCAGAGAGGGGAGAGUUUGGGAGGGAAAGCCAUCAGCUUCUCCUUGUAAAGUGUCACAGAGCCACUGAGCCUCCCAGAAUAAUUUCCUGACUAUGUUUUUUUUUUUUUUAAGGCUGCCAACGCUCAAUGGGAGGCAUUUGAAAUAUGUUCUGAGCCAAAGUUCUGCCAAUAUACAGCAGAGCUGAUAUGUGCUUCCUUGGGAGUUAGCCAAGGCUCAGAUGGAAUCUGCAUGAAAACUGGGUGGCUCAGGACUGAUCUGGCCUGGAUUCAGGGCAAUUUCCCAUUGUGUGGGGCUGCACUGGUGAUACCGUCCUGAUCUUUUGAUAAGAACGUCCUGGAGCGACAUGAAUAAAUCAUGAAGAGUGGGAGGAAUGGAAAAGACAGUGGCCUAGGAAUAGGCUCAAACAUGGGUAACUCAUAUGUGACCUUGGGCAAGUCACCCAUUUUCUCUGCUGCAGGAGGGGAAGGAGGGACAUCAGUUUGCUCUACUAUAAACUCAGGGGAUAGGAGUCCAUUGGGAGCACGGAGCACAUGUAAAUGUGUGUGAGGACUAUGGAAUGAAAUUGCAGUGGGGGUGGCGAGGUGAAUUGCUAAUAAUCUGUUAAAAGUCAAAGAGCCCAGAGUGGCCUUCUAAUCUUGACACUUGCUUUUAUCUGUGGUUAUAAUAUCACAUCACUCAGGAUUUAAUCACAAGUAUUCAGAAAGAUAAUUUCUAAGAAGAUUCAACUUGUUUUAAAAAAUGUUGAUGAAAAGGUUCACAUACUUACAUAUGUAAGAAACUAACAGUAUGUCAGUUAGAAUCAUAAAAGUGUAGAAUGACGGAUGUUGGCUCAACAUCCCGUUUAUAGUAAGGGAAACGGAUCAGAAACCUACUACUAACAGAGUAAAUACUACAGCAUUCCUACAACUAGAGCAGGGCUUUGUUUACAUGUUCUACCAAAGUGUUUAUUAUAUACAACUCUUCAGCACAGACUUUCUGGAAUUCCAUGAAUGCGUUGGAAAAAGUAAAAUAUUUGGGCAAAAAGUUUUUAUUGACCAAAUGUGAAAUCCAGGCUUCCUAUAGAAUAUCUAAAAACUGAUAAAUGGCCCCAGAGAUUACACCUUAGAAUUAAAUUUUGGGUUAUUCAAUACACUGACUGACAGAAUGCUGGAAACCCUGACUUCAGAAACUAUCAGAUCAUCAGACUAAUAUGGGAAAUUAAAAAAAUAACAAUGCCUGAGCUUCAUCUCAGAAGAUUCAAAUUCAAUGAAUCUUGGGAGGGGCUUUUGAAUCUAUAAUUUUAAAAGCUCCCAUGCACAAGUGUCCCGUUUUGGGUACACAUAAUGGUGUGUCAUAAUUAAUGACAUCUUAGAUUUGAUGUAAUAUUCUUAGUAUCUGCCAGAUACCUUCAUGUGCAUCACUACAUGUAAUGUUGACAUGUGUUUCCAGAUGAGGUUCAGAGAGACUAAGUAUGCCAACAAGAGGAUGAUCAACAUCUAGAGCCUUGGACUCCUGACCCUAAAUCCGGCUCUGUUACUCCUCAUCUGUAGACCCCUGAUUCUGCCUGUGAAUUUUGAGCAUUCAUGAGCCAUGCUGUCAUGUGACUGCAAGAUUUUAGGGGAGGGAAAAAUAAUUUAUAUGCAAAAAAUAAACUAGGCUCUAUUAUGGGCUUAAUUGUGCUCCUCCAAAAUUCAUAUGCUGAAGCCCUAACUCCCAGUAUCUCAGAAUUUGUUUGGAGACAGGAUCUUUAAAGAGGUGAUUAAACUGGAGGUUGUUAGGGUGGGCUCUAAUCCAGUAUGACUGGUAUCCUUAUAAGAGGAGGAGAUUAAGAUACAGACAACACAGAGGAAAGAUGGGGUGAAGAGACAGCCAUCUGUGAGCCAAGGAGAGAGGUCUCAGAAGAACAACCUUGAUCUUGAACUUCCUUAAAAUACCUGCCAACACCUUGAGCUUGAAUUUCUAGUCUCCCAAACUGUGAGAAAAUAUAUUUUUGCUGUUUAAACUACCUAGUCUCUGAUCCUUUGUUAUGGCAGCUGGGCAAACUAAUACAGACUGUCUAAUAGAAGUUCUCCCAAAGCAUAAGUAAGCCCAUACUACCAUAGUGUUAAGCUAAUUUCAAGCACCACAUACAUGGAAUUAACAAACACUGGGUCAGUUAAGGUUUUGUUUGGUAGGUGAUAAGAGAAACCUUGACUAGUGCUGAAACAGAGUUUAUUUUCCUUGUGUAGCAAGAAGUGAGGCAGAAGGUGGGCCUGGGGACAUUUUCUUUUUUUUUUUUUCUCUUCUGCCAGUCCUAGGAGGGGUGAUGUGUCCUAGGGUUAGGUACAUGAAAAAUAGACCAUCUAUUAUGGGCUGAAUUAUUUCCUCCCCCAAAUCAUAUAUUGAAGCCUUAACUCCCAGUAUCUUAAAAUAUGAACAUAUUUGAAGACAGGAGCUUUAAAUAAGUGAUUAAGUUAAAAUAGGGCUGAAUGGGCCUAAUCUAAUUAUUAAUGUAAGAAGAAGAGUUUAGGAUACAGACAACACAGACAGUAGGUAGACCAUGAGGGAAUGCAGUAAGAAGGCAGCCAUCUGCAAGCCAAGGAAAAGGCUCUCAAAAGAAACUAAAGCUGCCAACACCUUGAUCUUAGACUUCUGGCCUCUAGAACUGUGAGAAAAUGAAUGUCUUUUACUUGAGUGACCCAGUCUGUGGUAUUUCAGUAUGGCAGCCCUGGGAAGCUAAUACACCAUCUAUACUUGCCUUACCUUUGCUCACCUAAAUAUGUUUGUUACAAAUUAUAGUUGCUAUUCACUCAUUUUAGGUCUCCCCUCCCCCAGAAGUUCCUCAGAUGCUAAGACCACAUGGAUCAAGAAGAUACAACCAUCAGACAGGAUUAAUUAGGCCUUAAGAAGCAAAUGAAUAGCAGGGGUCAGACCUUGUGUAAGGUCAGGGGGUUCAGGACUAUCACCUCCCUAACUCUCUAGUGCUGUUUCAUGACCAUUACUUUUCCAAACUCCUUCUAAAUUCCCCUGCUUUUCUAUCAUUCUGGCACACUCUACUCAUCUCUACUACUGUCAUCUUCCAAUUUCUUUACCCUAUCCUCUGUUCCUUUCAUUCAUAACUUAGGCAUGUGACACUAUGCUCACCUCUCCUUCCCGAUUCCUCCUGACAUCCUGAGUAACAGUGGUCUCUCAUUGCUUGACCUAGUUUAAUGAUGAUUUCUUCCAUUUCACCAUAGCCAGCUACUCUACUUAUAGCUAUAUCUAUGUCUGAAAUCUCACUCUUGUGAUACCCCAUUCCCUGACCACUGUCCCCCAUCUUUCUAAGUCUGACUUCUUCAAUAACCCAAUAAUUCAACCUCAUCAGGAUAGCUAGCCGUCUAACACCAUUCCAAUUCUAGUCUAUCAGAUUCUCUUGGCUUUAUAUCUUUUCUGCAUUCCACAAAUAAGCACCAUCACUCCUUAGUGGAUUCUUUUUUUUUUAACCAGUUUCUCGACUCUCUUCUUACUUAAGAGGAAUGAUUCUUCAUAUUUCUGGUAAAUCAUUGAGAAUCUAAUGAAAGCCAGAUUCCUUCUGUUUUGAAUAUCCCCAACAAGACCACAUAAUUCAUUCCCUCACUCCUUCAUUUCUUUCUAAAAAUGUCACCUUAUUAGUGAGGUCCUUCCUGGACACUCUAUUACUUCUAUUCUCACCCCCAUUUGCUCUCCCCAUAUUCUGCUUCAUUUGUCUUUGUGGCACUAGCCACCAGCUAAGAUGGUAUUUAUUUUAAGUUUUUAUUGGUUUGUUGCUUGUUCUCUACCCCAUUAGAAUAACACUGUCUAUGAAUGGACAAGUAUUUUUGUAUUUUUUUUGUUUACUGCUCUAUUCCCAGUACCAAGAAUAAUGCCCUUGGCCUGCACAAAAUAGGACCUUAAUAAACAUUUGUGAAAUGAGUUUUCUUCCAAGAAACAUUUAAUAGGCACUAUUCUUCAAAUUUGGGAUAUAAUUACAGGGGCUUGAUGGCUCUCCUAAAACCAUGAAGCUCAGAAGCUCAAUUGUAACCAGUCUUCUCAAAUAUUCCUCAUACAUCCCACUAUAGUUUUAAAAAUCAUUACAUACUGAUCACUAGCAAAUCUACUACUUCUUUAGUCUAAAUGUCUUUCCAUAAUUCCUCAUGCUCAAGUCAAAUGUCUAUUUUCACCUCCCCCUCAAGGUUCCAUUAGGCAGAAGUCAUUUUCUAUAUCCAACUUGCUCAUUCUCUCAUAUGAACAAUGUUCAUGAACUACUAGCAAAUAGAAAUUCAAGCCAGAUAUUUGCAUGUCAUCACUGACUUAUUUUUUCCUUUUCUUCUCAUCUGCCAUCAAUCAAUAACUCCUAUUGUUUCCAUAUAAGUAUCUUUAAAUCCAUCAUUAUGCAUAACAUCCAUUCCCCAUUGCCCUUGCAGUAGUGGAAUGAUUCAUUAGUUUUCAUUGGAUUAUUUCAAUAACUUCUCAUUGGUUUCUUUACCUUUAGUAAGAAAGGUAUACUCUUAUAAGUAUACAAGUCUCAUUAAUUCUCUCCCUUUGAUAGACCUUUCAGAUCCUUCCUUUGCCUAGAGAAUAAAAUAAAAAUACCUUAGAAUAGCCUUUGAGCCUUAACGUCUAAUGCUGCCAUGAAACUGAAGUAGCCUGCAGUGCUGAGCCAACAUGUGGAGGACAGCUGCCUGGAGAAUGGCCUGGAUCCACAGCAGACUUUGCCUAAGCGAGAAAGAAACUGUUGUGUGAAGCCACUGAGCUCUUGGUAUUGUUUGUUACCGUAGAUAAUUUAGCCUGCUCUGACCGACACAAUACUCUUAUAUGGGUUUACUCUUUCACCUCUGUAUUUUCCCCCAGAACCAGCACGCCUACACAUCAUACUUUAAUGUCUAGAACUGGUACCAAACUAGUUUCAUAUUCCAGAUUUUAUCAUGCUCUCUCAUGUCUAUAGGCACUUACAUACUUGGUUCUAUUGGUCUUUAAUGCUAUUUUCUUCCUCAUUUGUCUAUAGAACUUCCUCUUAUUUAUCAUUUGAAAUCUUUCUUAAAUGUCAGCUUCUCUGGAAAAUUUUCCCCAAUCAUUCAGAAUGGAAGUAAACACUACCUUUGUUCCUUACACUUAAACUUUAAAUUAUACUUUAAAUUGCAUGUGUCAAAUUAUAAAGCAAUUUUUUUUGUUGAUUUGUGUCAUUCUUUCAUCACAAUAAUUUGAGGGUCUGAACAAUAUCCUUUGUACUUUCAACUCAAUAAAUGCUUAUUGAAUGUAUAGAUGUCUAAAUAAAAUUUUAGAAAGAUAUCAGGACAGGUAAACAUAUAAUUAAGUCUAUAAUUAUAAAUUAUGAUGACUGCUACACAGAAAGAGAACUAUGAGAGAGGCUAAUAGAAGGGCUUAAUUUAUGCAGAGUGGUCAGCAAAGUCAUGGUGAACUGUUAUUUAAAAUCAAUAGGAGGAGUACAAGUUUGCUAGUGAAGAGCUGGUGAUUUCUCAACGAUGGACUACCCUACUUGGACAUCACACGUAUGGAAACUCCCCAUUUUUAUAACCCAGUUCAUAGAAAUAAUAAAGAUAUAGAAAUGUGAACAGCUGCACUCAGAGGCAAGAAAAGGAAUGACCUGUGGAUGAGGAAGUGGGAAAGUCCAUAAAAGGAAGGUGGUAGAUGAGAAGCUAUGGCAGUGAGUUUCCCACAGUGGGAACCCAUCUUGACCAUGUGGGGGUUCUUCAUAGUCCCUCUGGGGCUGACAAGACUGUAUGUAAAGUCACUGGGAAAGGAGAGAGAAUCACCAACACAGAAAAAUUGCCAAACAAGAGUCAACAAAUAUUUCUCAAAGCCUAUAUAUGGAAAAGUGAUACUAAACUCAAUAAGAAAAGGGUUUCAUGGAAGGAAAUAGAGUUAAUAGAACCACAAGAACAGAAUUUUAAAAUAACUGUCUCCAGAAAGUUAAAGUAGGGGAUAUCAUCUAUGAGACAAGGAGAAAGAUUUGAAAUAUAAACAGGUUGAAAUGCAAAAAAGAAGCACUGGACAAUUAAUGAAAUUAAAGUAACAAUUUGCAUUUAUUAAAUGUUUAUUGAAAUUAAAAAAUAAGAUGCAAUUGUAAGUAUAAAUAGCUGAAUGGCUGCAAAUGAAAAAUUAAUUAAUGAUUUGAAAAAUCAAGCUGAAGAAUUCUCUCAAAUAAAGAGAUCAGAAGUAUAGAAAAAAAAUAAAGGGAUAUAGAUUCUGAAGUUCUUACAUAUGUCUACUAGGAUUUUCUUUAAAAAUGAAAUAAAGAGGGGGAAUGUGAAACAAUCUUUGAUGAUAUAUUGGCCUUAAUUUUCCCAGAAUUGAGAAAAGACAAGAAUUCUCAGACUGAAAAGAUCUACCAAGGCCCAGAAAAGCCUGAACCUGACCAUAGAUUGAGAGUGAGAAAUUGAGGGAGAGGAAGACAACAAAGACAACUCCCAGAAUUCUGACUCAAGAUUGUGUUGUUGCCACUUACUGAGAUGGGGGAAGAGAGGUAGAGGGACUGUGAAGUAUGACUCUUCUGAAGACAUGCCAACAGACCCUGAUAGUUAACAUGAUACUCAAUGCUGCGCUCAUCAGGACAGUGAGGGUAUUUGGGUAAGCUGUGGUAACUCUCCGGGCCUGAGUGGUUUUGUUUUUCCCCACAAAAUGGGAGAAAUGACAGCACUUUUUUUACAUCUUGUUCAAGGAAACAGUUGUUCUUAAAGUCUUUUAAAUGAGUGAUACCUUUGGGAUUCUAAGGAAAGUUGACCUUCUCUGGAGAAAAGUAUAAAGUUUUCCUGUAUCUAGAUAUUUAUAAGACUGGUGAUUAAUCCUUGGUGAAGUGAAAGUGAAAUUCGCUUAGUGGUGUCCGACUCUUACGGAAUUCUCCAGGCCAGAAUACUGGAGUGGGUAGCCUAUCCUUUCUCCAGCGGAUCUUCCCGACCCAGGAAUCAAACCUGGAUCUCUUGCACUGCAGGCGGAUUCUUUACCAACUGAGCUAUGAGGGAAGCCAAUCUUUGGUAAUGUUUAUAAAUCACCUGCAAAGCUCCUGGCCCUUUGUGGAGAUUCAACCAAUAGUAAUUGUUAUUAAUAUAAUUAGAAAGUAAGAGUAAGGACCAUAAUAGGUAUAGAAAGAAAGUGGCCUUCAGGAUGGGCCUGAAAAGAUGAGUAGGCUUUCAACAGGCCGAAAGAAAAACAAGAGCUACAGUAAUGGCAAAAAUUGAAGUAAGACUCAGUGAUGAAAGGAGUUUGCAGGAUGAGUAAUACUACUGAGACUUAGCUCCGUUCUAGGUGUGAUAUGCAUUAUUUACUUCAACCUGCACAAUGAGAUAUUGUUAGAGAAUAGGGAACAGAGAAAAGGAAAUGUUCUUACUCAGAAUUACCCACUCCACUUUGCUCCUGCUUCCUUAGCAAAUAAUUGAUUAUUUUUCUGUCACUACAGGUUCAUUUGCACUUUCUAGAGAUUUAAGCCAAUGGAAUCACAUAGCAUAUAUUCAUUUUUGUCUGGCUUCUCUCACUUAGCAUAAUUAUUUUGAGAUUCCCUCAUGUUGUUACACAUGUAAUUAGCUCAUAUGUCAUGAUUCGCUUAUUCAUCUGUUCAUGGACACCUGGAUUAUUACCAGGUUUCAGCUAUUACAAAUAAAGCUUCUAUGAACAUUCAUGUAUGUGUCUUUAUUUGGAAAGAUGCUUCUGUUUUUAUUUGGUCCAUCUCUAGGAAUAGGAUGGCUAGAUCAGAUUGUCGAUGUAUGUCUAAUGUUUUAAUACACUACCAAACACUUCUCCAAAGUGGUUGUACAAUUUUACAUUACCAUCAAUAGUGAAUGAGCAUUCCAGUUGUGCCAUACUUGUGCCCAAACUUGGUAAGUUCGAUUUUUGAAAAACUUUAACCAUUAUCAUAUAUAUGUAGAGGUAUCUCACUGGAUUUUAAUUUGCAUUCCCCUAAUGAUGAAUGAUUUUGAGCAUUUUUAAGUGUUUUCAUUCAUGUAUCAUUUUUGGUAAAUUGUUC